CUCCUUCACCCGGCCGGCUUCCAGGGGUGCGCUCCCGGCGUGGAGGAGUGCUGAGGAGAAAGGGGAGAUAAGACAAAAAAAAACGCGUUUGCGGUUUCCUCCCCGUCUGGAAGGUGAGUGUUCACUGAAGUGCUGCUGCUCUCUCCUCUCUCCUCCUGCAGCGCGAGGGUCAGAGCGUCGCCGCGCAGCGCGUGCCUCGGUGGAGCGACGGCGAGUCGCGCGGCCCCUCGGCCCGCUGCUGCCUUUCCCGGGAUCUUGGGCCUCUCCGGAGUAGUUCGGCCCUGCCUGCAGACUGAAUUGCAACAGAAGAUUCAACUUGAAGAAAAGCAGGAGUUGUGCAGAGUUGCACUUGAAAAAGGAUCCACUGUGGAAGAGGCCGAUGGUUUUUGUGGGAUCACUACUUCUGUUAGCCUGUUUCUGACAACUGACCUCAUGGAAGUGUGGCGUGGCGUCACAGCCCGGAAAGUGGAUGUCAUAUUGACUCACAGUCAGAUACCUGAUAGAUUUUAAUGGGUUGUGCACUUGAUCUCGCUACAGCAGUUCUGGUUGAAUGCCCUGCAGGUGCCCUCGCCUGUUCAGUCGGUGCCGGCCUGGGUAGGGACCGCUGCUGCCGAUGACGUGGAGUGGAAGGAUGUGCAUGCAUGUUGGUGUGUGUUUUGAGUGGGAAACCCUUAAAGUAGCUUUCACUGUGCCAUGUAAAAGUUACUGAAAGGCACAGCCGUGCACUCUGUGUGCAUACAGCUGUAAGAGUAGACACAAUAAAGCGUUGCCGAGUGGAUUUAGGGCUCUGCUC
This 793-nucleotide long non-coding RNA is filed under the name Apteryx rowi (Okarito brown kiwi). Its description in RNAcentral is "lncRNA (ENSARWG00000010674.1)". The record is from RNAcentral. Lineage: Eukaryota; Metazoa; Chordata; Aves; Apterygiformes; Apterygidae.